CAGCAGCCGCGGUAAUACAGAGGGUGCGAGCGUUAAUCGGAUUUACUGGGCGUAAAGCGUGCGUAGGCGGCUUCUUAAGUCGGAUGUGAAAUCCCUGAGCUUAACUUAGGAAUUGCAUUCGAUACUGGGAAGCUAGAGUAUGGGAGAGGAUGGUAGAAUUCCAGGUGUAGCGGUGAAAUGCGUAGAGAUCUGGAGGAAUACCGAUGGCGAAGGCAGCCAUCUGGCCUAAUACUGACGCUGAGGUACGAAAGCAUGGGGAGCAAACAGGAUUAGAGACCCCAGUAGUCCCUGUCUCUUAUAA
RNAcentral lists this ribosomal RNA (301 nucleotides) under uncultured bacterium. RNAcentral's name for it is "partial 16S ribosomal RNA". It matches the Rfam family "Bacterial small subunit ribosomal RNA", at positions 509 to 809 of the family's 1533-position model. The record is from RNAcentral.